Non-coding RNA from Odocoileus virginianus texanus, 4137 nucleotides. The record is from RefSeq and is a predicted model, not a curated record. NCBI's taxonomy places the organism in Eukaryota, Metazoa, Chordata, Mammalia, Artiodactyla, Cervidae.
AAGGAGUAGACAUGACUGAGCAACAAAAAUCCAGUUGAAAGCAAUAUGUAUACUUUUAAAUGUUUCAAUAUAUAUGCUUUUAAGUGUUUCAGUGUAUAUACUUUUAAAUGUUUCAACAUGUUGCCAGAUAAUACAUUAUAGAAUAACACUACUAGUCUACUUAUUUUAACCUUGUACUUGUCUUACUGUAGCUUUGUAAGAUCUCUUUCUGUCAUACUAUCACUGUGUCAGGAGUCUGGGCAUGGCUUAGCAUUAUCUUCUACUGAGGGUCCAAGAAGGUUGUAAUCCAGUUGUUGGCCAGGUUGUAUUCUCAUCUGAAGACUUGCCCAGGGAAGAUUUCACUAACUGCUGCGCUUCCAAGCUACUGCAAGUUGUGAGGUGGUGGGACUGAGGUUGCUGUUUUCUUGCUGGAUAUAGGCCAGGUGCUGCUCUCUAGAAGCCUCCUGCCAGGAUGUAUCUAUGCUUCUGUUUUGUGUUUCCACCUGUAUCAUUCAUGAACCCUUUUGUCCCCUGCAGUGGAAGCAUUGCAGUUUCUUAACCACUGGAUCACCAGGGAAGUUCCUGUGAUUGCUUCUUUUCUGAGCCCCUUAUCCUUACCCGUAGAUGUUUCAUCCUCACAAUCCCCUAGCCCUCCCUUGCAGGAGUCACUGCCACUCUCUUCUGAACUGUUAUGUAAUUUGGAAAUGAAGGAGGCAGGCAGUUAGGGAAUGGAAGGAGAAAAGGGAGACCCUACCCCAUGUCAUCAAAUAUUAAGAUGUAUGCAUAUCCAAUGUUGAAUAUCUUUUCUCAAAAAACUUUCUGCAUGGAUUACCCUUGUUUUGGAAAUUAAUUGACUGUGUUGACUCAUUAAUGAUUUGAUAUGUGUUUUAAGCAGUCAUGCAUAUGUGAGAAUUCUUGAGAAAUGUAAAAAUCUAAUGUGCUAAUUAUUUUCAAAUGUAAGGAAAUUUGUAUGUUUUAAAAUGAAAAAUUAAGUUUAUAUAUUAAUUUAAUGGAACAUUUUUAAAUUUUGUAGUUUAAUUUUCUUAAAUUGGUGUCUGCCCUUUUCAUGCCUAGAUCUCAGGCAUUUUCUUAUAUGUUUUCAUUUCUGGAAAAGCUUGCAGGCCCUGGGCUUCCUGCCUGCAGUGUGAAAUGGAUAAAUUGGAUUUGAUCGAGUCAGCUUAUAAAUCAGUAAGGGAACAAAAAGUUGGCAGUAGUUUAUCAACAUCCCAUACUCAGGUAAUUAAGCAAUUUCAAUAAUUCUUAAUAGCAUGGCAGGUUUUUAUUAUCUUUUAAUAGGUGUUGGCUAAUGGGACCUAGGGAAGCACAGGAAAAUUUCUUUUGCAUUAAAGCAGUUCUAGGCAGCGUAGUAUUUAGUCAGAGUGAUGGAUUGCCAGGGCUGCCACAACAAAAUACCACAAACUGGGUGGCUUAAACAACAAAUGUAUUUUCUGACAGUUUAGGAGGUGGAAAGCCCAAGUUCAAGGUCAGCAGGUUUGGUUUUUUGUUUUUGUUUUGAGUCUUCUUUCCCUGACUAGCAGGAGGCCACCUUCUUGCUGUGUUUUCACGUGGCUUUUCUCUGUGUGUAUGCAGGUCUGUCCUCAUCUCUUCUUAAUAAGGAAAGCAGUUAUAAUGGAUUAGGGCCUACUUAUGUGACCUCGUUUUAUUGUAAUUACCUCACUACAGAUCCUGUCUCCAAGCACAGUCACAUUAUGAUGCACCAGGGGUUCGGAUUUCAACAUAUGCAUUUUGAGAAGAUACUUAGCCCAUAACAAUUGUCAUCCUUUAUUUUAUGCAGUAGCAAACUUGAUGAUAAAUCACACUUCAAUUAAGGUAAAUCUUUUUUCCUACUGUCUUCCAAUGGGAAUAUGCUGCCCUCCCACCCCUCAGUGAAACAUAUCCAUAGCAAGAGUAAAACCUUAAGCUCAAAAGCGGAAACAAUUUUGAAUCACUCUGUACCCUCCAGAUCCUCCUCCCGCAACUUUGAUUUUUUCUUCCUAUUUUACGAAGUCUUGUCUUUCUUCAGUCCUUCUUCAAAUGAUGAGCAUACCUUCCAGAUACAGAGUUGCUCCAUUUCAUGUGGAAGAUUCUAUAACUUGGCUUCCCUUUCCCUUUUUGUCUGAGAUCUCAAUGAACUGUUUAAAAAAAAACACACCUAAUUUUAUGGAAGUAGAGUUGAUGUACAAUAUUGUACUCUGCUCUAUAGUAGUGUGAUUGAGAUACAUAGAUAGAUAGGUAUUCUUAUCCAUUAUGGUUUCUUAUAGAAUAUUGGAUAUAGUUCCCUGUGUUGUACAGCAGGACCUUGUUUACUCUAUAUAUAAUAGUUGCAUUUGCUAACCCCAGCCUUCCAACCCAUCCUUCCCCCUUUCCCCUUCUCCUUAACACUACAAGUCAGUUCUCUAUGUCUGUGAGUCUGUUUCUGUUUUGGUAGGUAAGUUUUCAAUGAACUCUUCUUCUUCCACCUCACUAUCCCCCUCUUUUUUCUUUUCCCCCUCUUUUUUUGAUUUCUCUUUCACCUUUUUAUUUUCAGUGUUACUCUGUGCUAAGGCCUAGACAUACAGAGUAAGAAAGGACACAUGUUCUUUUCAUGAAGUUGACUGUCCACUGUGAGAAGACGACCUUUAAAAAAAAUGCACUGACUUUAGAUGGUAACUGGGAGUUGUGAUUUGAUGUGAAAGUAAGGGGGAGUGUGUGUGUUAAAUUUAAAUAGAGCUUGGAGAAGGCCUAAUUAAGUGGUAUUUGAGCUGAAACCUCCCCAUUGAGAAGAAGAGUUACUUUACUGCAGAUGGGUAUUUGGUUUGUUUUUCUUCCUAUUUUGCUGUUAAAAACAUUGACACUUUGAACAUUCUUAUACACAUUUCUUGAUGGAUAUUUCCAAGAAUUUUAAGGUUAAAUCUAGGAGUGUUAACUGUAUGUUAUACUGUAUGUGAGUGUUUAGUUUUCAGGCUGGUGCCAAAUCAUUUUCCACAAUAGUUAUACCAAUUUACAUCCACGAGGGAAACAAAAGAAAUUCCAUUUAAUAGGCUUCCCUGGUGGCUCAGUGGUGAAGAAUCCGCCUGCCAGUGCAGGAGACAUAGGUUCACUCCCUGAUCUGGAAAGAUCCCACCUGGCGAGGAGCGACUAAGCCCGUGUGCCACGACUGUUGAGCCUGUCUGUGCUCUAGAGCCUGGGAGCAUCAAGUACCGAGCCCGCGUGCCCCGAGCCUGUGCUCUGCAACCAGAGAAGCCGCCACAGCGAGGCGGCAAUUGUCGCAGCUGCUCUCCCGGCUUCGCUAUGCCGCCCAAGGACGAGAAGAAGAAGAAAGAUGCUGGAAAGUCGACCAAGAAAGACAAAGAUCCAGUGAACAAAUCUGGGGGCAAGGCCAAAAAGAAGUGGUCCAAAGGCAAAGUUCGGGACAAGCUCAAUAACCUCAUCAUGUUUGACAAAGCAACAUGUGACAAACCCUGUAAAGAAGUUCCCAACUCUAAGCUUAUAACUCCAGCUGUCGUCUCUGAGAGACUGCAGAUUCGUGGUUCCCUGGCCAGGGCAGCCCGUCAGGAACUCCUUAGUAAAGGACUUACUAAACUGGUUUCAAAGCACAGAGCUCAAGUGAUUUACAGCAGACACACCAAGGGUGGAAAUGCCCUAGCUGCUGGUGAAGAUGCAUGAACAGGUCCCACCAACUGUACAUUUUGAAAAAUAAAGCUUUAUUAAAUAAAAAAAAAAAAAGAGAAGCCACUGCAAUGAGAAGCCUGCAACUGAAGAGUAGCUCCGCUGCUCACUAAACUGAGACAAAAGCCUGUGCAGCAGUGAAGACCCAACACAACCAAAAAAAAAAAAAAAAAAAAAGAGCCAGGAUUCAUUUAAAAAAAGAGAGAAAUUCCAUUUGAGAAUCUCCCAAACUUCCCAUAAGACUCUUCAUUCUUGUCAGUGCUUCACAAAUUUAAUUUUUACCAACCUAAAUAUUUAUUUUUACCAAUUUUUCAUUGCAAUUUUAAUUUUAUUUUCCUGACUAUUAUCUGUUUUUUAUUUUACUUUUAAAAAUAAAUUUAAAAAAUACAUUGUGGGUAGCAGACUUUUGUGAGUGAUAUAUUGCAAAUACUUUCUCUCAUUUUGUGGCUCUCAUUUCACCUUCCUCAUAGUUUCUUUUAAUGGAAAAAAGGGUCUUUUAAGAUGGUCGAA